CCUACGGGGGGCAGCAGUGAGGAAUAUUGGUCAAUGGGCGAGAGCCUGAACCAGCCAAGUAGCGUGAAGGAUGACUGCCCUAUGGGUUGUAAACUUCUUUUAUAAAGGAAUAAAAUGAGGCACGUGUGCCUUUUUGUAUGUACUUUAUGAAUAAGGAUCGGCUAACUCCGUGCCAGCAGCCGCGGUAAUACGGAGGAUCCGAGCGUUAUCCGGAUUUAUUGGGUUUAAAGGGAGCGUAGGGGGGUUUUUAAGUCAGUUGUGAAAGUUUGCGGCUCAACCGUAGAAUUGCCGUUGAAACUGGCAGGCUUGAGUACAGUUGAGGCAGGCGGAAUGCGUGGUGUAGCGGUGAAAUGCUUAGAUAUCACGAAGAACACCGAUUGCGAAGGCAGCUUACUAAGCUGUGACUGACGCUGAUGCUCGAAAGUGUGGGGAUCAAACAGGAUUAGAUACCCGAGUAGUC
RNAcentral lists this ribosomal RNA (460 nucleotides) under uncultured bacterium. RNAcentral describes it as "partial 16S ribosomal RNA". It matches the Rfam family "Bacterial small subunit ribosomal RNA", at positions 338 to 795 of the family's 1533-position model. The record is from RNAcentral.